AAGUAGUAGUUGGAAAUUGAUGAAAUUGCAUGUUUUUUGAAGGUAUAAGGUGAAGGUAUUUGAAGUGGCAGUGAGGAGGAACACCAUUGCUGUGUUGGAUACCGGGGUGGGAAGACUAAUAUUGGUAUCGGGUGAAGGUGUUAAAGUGGCAAUGAGAAGGAACGCCAUUGCUGGGUUGGAUACAGGGGAUGGGAAGACUAAUAUAGCAGUGAUGAUGAUUAUAGAGAAAUUGGGAAAACAUUGAGGAAUGUUGAUGAGAAGAAGUUUAUUGGGUUCUUAGCCCCCACUGUUCAUCUAGUUCAUCAGGCAAAAUCUUUGUGCACGAAAAAUGGAGGCACAACACACUUGACAAGAUGCGCGAAUACAGUACCUGGUACUGUUCCUUGAUAAAAGGUAGCCCGCUCCUUUUAGAUAUUUUAAAUGUAUUAUAUAACAAAUUUAGUGUCUAUGUAUAAUUUUCUUGACU
Long non-coding RNA from Capsicum annuum, 466 nucleotides. RefSeq lists it as uncharacterized. The transcript has 3 exons. The record is from RefSeq and is a predicted model, not a curated record. NCBI's taxonomy places the organism in Eukaryota, Viridiplantae, Streptophyta, Magnoliopsida, Solanales, Solanaceae.